This 220-nucleotide non-coding RNA is filed under the name Sediminibacillus halophilus. RNAcentral's name for it is "T-box sequence". It matches the Rfam family "T-box leader". From Rfam's summary of the family: Uncharged tRNA acts as the effector for transcription antitermination of genes in the T-box leader family. T-boxes are found upstream of many aminoacyl-tRNA synthetase genes and some amino acid biosynthetic genes usually in Gram-positive bacteria. The anticodon of a specific tRNA base pairs to a specifier sequence within the T-box motif, and the NCCA acceptor tail of the tRNA base pairs to a conserved bulge in the T-box antiterminator hairpin. The record is from RNAcentral. Lineage: Bacteria; Bacillati; Bacillota; Bacilli; Caryophanales; Bacillaceae.
AUAAAUACGAAGACAGGGACAGUACAGGAAGAUGACUGCUGUAUUAGCGAUCCGGGGUCGGUGUAAGCCUGGAACAGAGCCUUUCUGGAAUAUCACCCUUAAGUAUCCGCGUUGAAAAAGAGUAGGUGCGGACGUCUUGUUCACGUUACGAAUUUUGAGUGGAAGGUUCUUUUAAAGUCCUUCUAUAAGGGUGGUACCGCGAGUCCUUCUCGUCCCUUCG